RNAcentral lists this ribosomal RNA (497 nucleotides) under uncultured bacterium. Its description in RNAcentral is "partial 16S ribosomal RNA". It matches the Rfam family "Bacterial small subunit ribosomal RNA", at positions 28 to 507 of the family's 1533-position model. The record is from RNAcentral.
GAUGAACGCUGGCGGCGUGCCUAAUACAUGCAAGUCGAGCGAACGGACGAGAAGCUUGCUUCCCUGAUGUUAGCGGCGGACGGGUGAGUAACACGUGGAUAACCUACCUAUAAGACUGGGAUAACUUCGGGAAACCGGAGCUAAUACCGGAUAAUAUUUUGAACCGCAUGGUUCAAAAGUGAAAGACGGUCUUGCUGUCACUUAUAGAUGGAUCCGCGCUGCAUUAGCUAGUUGGUAAGGUAACGGCUUACCAAGGCAACGAUGCACAGCUGACCUGAGAGGAUGAGCGGCGGCAUGGGAACUGAGACACGGUCAAGACUCCUGAGGGAGGCAGCAGUGGGGAAGAGGGGACAGUGGGGGGAAGCCGGAUCCUGCAAGACCGCGUGGGGGAAAAAGGCGUACGGGUUGUAAAGCCCUGGGAUGGGGAAAGAAAAGCAGCAGGUUAAUAACUGGCUGUUAGGACGGGACCCAAAGAAUAAGCAAGGGCGAACGUCGUG